This 2520-nucleotide unclassified non-coding RNA is filed under the name Hevea brasiliensis (rubber tree). The record is from RNAcentral. Lineage: Eukaryota; Viridiplantae; Streptophyta; Magnoliopsida; Malpighiales; Euphorbiaceae.
UUUCACUUUCAAAUAUGCUUCCAAAAUCUCUCUCCUUUCCCAUUCUCUCUUUUCAAAUACACUCGUAUUGAAGACAUUUCCUUCUUGCUUUAAUAUUGUUUUAUAAUCUCUUAUGGUUGUUGUUCAUUAUGCUAUUUAAAGUUGGUCUGCAUAGUCUUGUAUCAUUGAAUUUUUAAAGAAUGUGAGUGGUACUGCCGUGAAAUGGAUGUUUUCAGUGUAGAUGAGGAUGAAGAUGCUACUAAGAAAAGACAGAAUGGGAUUUCUUGGCCACCUCCACAUGCUAAUGUCCGACACAGACGUUCCAAGAGUGCAUCUGAGAGGAACCUGGAGGUUUCAAGAGGUGGAGCUUUGCGUUCCAUAAAGAAGGACCAGAAUGGAACACAUGUCAGACUGCAUAUUUCAUCUACAUCAAAUUUGUAUUAAAUUUCAUGUUAUCCUCUUUACUUGCAAGCAUGGCAUGGUUAAAACUCUUGAUAAAGAACAUAGCUGAGAAUGAGAUAACUCACCAUUAGUUUUUUCCACUGAAUCUAACAGAUGUCACCACUUUCAACAAGGGCUUUUAGGACACAAAGUCCUCUCCGUGACCAUCCUACUUGUACAAAUAAAAAUACAUCAUCAAACCAUCGAGCCUCUUUGGAAAAAGAUAUUGACCUGCUGCAACUACGGUUGCAACAAGAGAAAUCUAUGCGCAUGAUGCUCGAGAGAGCAAUGGGCCGGGCUUCAAGUACUUUAUCUCCAGGACAUAGACAUUUUGCUAAUCAGACAAAGGAGUUGAUUGCAGAGAUUGAGUUACUGGAAGAAGAGGUCACAAACCGUGAGCAGCAUGUACUCUCUCUGUAUCGGAGUAUUUUUGAAAAUUGUGUUAGUCAGGCUCCUUCUGAGCAAAACUCAGGUGUUGCUUCUCCUGCCCAUACAAAGCAAGUAUCCAGGAAACACCCAAGUAUUAUUUCAAGUGCUUUCUGCUCCUCCAAAAAGUUCCCUUUGCGACCUCUGCAAGCUCUAGUUUCUAUCAGUGAGUCAGGGAAGAGAUCCUCCAAGGCUAGUGAUUCUCCAUCAUUCCUUGGGAAAAGCAACGUUCAUUUUGAGAAGACUUGUUUUGACCGGAUCAGGGCGCUUGAGAAGAUUCCUUACAUGGAGAAAACUUCAAUGUUGCGAACUCUAAAAGACCAUCUAUAUCAAUGCCCAAGCAAGUUGUCUGAGGAAAUGGUCAGGUGUAUGGCUGCAGUAUACUGCUGGCUUCAUAGCGCAGCAUCUGUCCCUGGAAAAAACAGAUCACCUAUUUUGUCAAGGUCAUCCACUAAUGUUGUAAUCCCCCGGCACGGUAUUGGAGAGGACCGAGAUUGGUCUUGCAAAUCCAUGGUAGAAGUGUCUUGGAUAUCAACUGAUAGAAGUCAGUUCUCUCACGCAUCUUAUGCCAUCAGUACAUAUAGAGUUCUUGUGGAGCAGCUGGAGAGGGUGACUGUUAGUCAGAUGGAAAACAAUGUUCAAAUUGCGUUUUGGAUCAAUGUGUAUAAUGCCCUUGUUAUGCAUGCAUAUUUAGCAUUUGGAAUCCCCCACAGCUCUCUAAGGAGGUUAGGCUUGUUUCAUAAGGCUGCUUAUAACAUUGAUGGCCACAUCAUUAGUGCAAAUGCUAUAGAGCAGUCAAUCUUUGGUUUCCGCACACCCCGAGUUGGAAAGUGGCUUGAGACCAUCCUUUCUGCUGCAUUGAGGAAGAAAUCCAGUGAAGAAAGGCAACUUAUUAGUUCCAAGUUUGGUCUCUCAGAUGUCCAACCCCUAGUCUGCUUUGCCCUCUGUACUGGAGCUUUUUCUGAUCCUGUGCUAAGAGUCUAUACAGCAUCAAGUGUUAAAGAGGAAUUGGAGGUUGCAAAAAGAGAGUUUCUUCAAACAAAUACAGUUGUGAAGAAGUCAAGGAGAGUGUUUCUACCCAAGUUGAUUGAAAGAUUUGCAAAGGAAGCCUCUAUCAACUCAGAUGAUCUUCUGAAGUGGAUUACCGAAAAUGUUGAUAAGAAACUCCAUGAUUCAAUUCAGAAAUGCAUCGAUAGGAAAUCAAACAAAAAGGCAUCUCACGUCAUAGAAUGGUUACCUUACAGCUCAAGGUUCCAGUAUGUUUUCUCAAAGGAAUUAACAGAGAAGCCAUCGUGGGCAUGAGUUUCUUUCUAAAUGCCUUCCUUGCGGGGGACAAUAUCUCUGUCAGAAGCCAUUCAGUAUUGCUUGGCUUGGGAAAAAAGGACAUUAGUUAUGGGUACUUCUGAUCUACAUUUAUUGUCCAUCUGAUCUUUGCCCAUUUUAGAUAACACUUUGUAGCCCAUGAAUUUUAAAUUCCUUUGUGACUACUGUAAUAGUAAAUUGACUUGUUCAUUAAUGAGCUCAAUGUCAUAUUUGCAGUUGAAACGUUGAAAAAAGUGGGAUCCCAUACCCCUAGAUCUAAGACAAUAAUUUCUUUGGAACAUUGUACAUUUCCCAGUUUGGGCUGUUAGGGUACAGCACACUCAGUUUUCUUUGGUACUUCAGAAACUUAAA